AGUCCCUGGAAGCUCUGGGAGUUCAGCUGAUUGGUAUUUUUGUUCUUCCUAUGGGGUUGCAAACCUCUUCAAAUCCUUCAGCCCUUUCUCUAACUCCUCUUUUGGGGACCCCAUGCUCAGACCAAUGGUUAGCUGUGAGCAUCUGCCUUUGUAUUGGUAAGGCUCUGGCAGGGCCUCUCAGGAAACAGCUCUAUCAGGCUACUGUCAGCAUGCACUAGUUGGCAUCCAUGAUGGUGUCUGGGUCUGGUAACUGUAUUGGGAUGAAUUCUCAGAUGGGACAGUCUCUGGGUGGCCUUCCCUUCAGUCUCUGCUCUAUACUUUAUCUCCAUAUUUAUUCCUGUGAGUGUUUUGUUUUCCUUCUAAGAAGAAUGGGAGCACCCACACUUUGGUGCUCCUUCUUCUUGAGCUUCAUGUGGUCUGUGAAGUGUAUCUUGAGAAUUUGGAGCUUUUGGGCUAAUAUCCACUUAUCAGUGAGUGGAUAUCAUGUGUGUUCUUUUUGUGAUUGGGUUACUGCACUCAGAAUGAUAUUUUCUAGUUCUAUCCAUUUGCCUAAGAAUUUCAUGAAUUCAUCCUUUUUAAUAGCUGAGUAGUGCUGGGAGCCAUGGCCUCAGCCAUGGCCUUGUGGAAAUUUUCUAGCUUACAUAACCAGCCCUGGGAGAACAUUUGUGGUCAAAACAGAAAGAAUAUUUGUGAGUGGAGAGGGCACUGUUACCAUUGCUUCCAGGAGCUGAAGAUUGCCACCUGACGUUCAGAGAGACCCGGGUUCUUCCCAACCUCCCUUGAAGCCUCUUCUUUCUUAUGCUUAUAUUUCCACCCCAGAAUAAAGUUUUUCAGAGCUUGAUCAG
This 845-nucleotide long non-coding RNA is filed under the name Mus musculus (house mouse). RNAcentral's name for it is "long non-coding RNA chr15:33929572-33930417". Lineage: Eukaryota; Metazoa; Chordata; Mammalia; Rodentia; Muridae. The record is from RNAcentral.